Non-coding RNA from Arachis ipaensis, 925 nucleotides. The record is from RefSeq and is a predicted model, not a curated record. NCBI's taxonomy places the organism in Eukaryota, Viridiplantae, Streptophyta, Magnoliopsida, Fabales, Fabaceae.
UUGUAAUCCUGGCUCAUUCAACGCCGUUCUUCGUUCUAGCUAGGGCUUCUCCUCUCUGGUUACGAUCUGGUUACACCAACAAACAACGUAAAGGUAAGAAACAACGUUCAUCAUCUCCUCUCUGAACAACGCUCUGGUUACGAUCUCCUCUCUAAACAAACAACGUUCAUCAUCUCCUCCGUUAAAGAAGCUCUCCAACAACGCCGUUCUUCCUUCUAGGACUUCUCCUCUCUCCGCCGGUUACGAUCUCUCCAGCUCUGUUAGGGAUUUUUGGGUCUUCCUUGAAGCAUUGGAUUGACGUUGGUGCGGGGGUGAUUGACGACGAUCUCAGACACUAUAAUUUUGUGUUCCAUUUCGUGAACAAUUACUAGAGUAUUAUGGAAAUAACAAAAGCAUUGGGGAGUUGGAAGAAAAUCUUUUAACUUGCUUAGCUGACUUAUUUUCACAGAAGAAAAUUCAUCAGAGAUAAGACAUUAUUUGUUGUGGCAAGUAAAUGGAAGUGGAGAUUCUAAGCAUGUUUCAGUACCCAGCUUUAGUUUCACUUCUUGUUCAUUGUUAUUAGUGGAGAAACCUUGUUUCAUUGUUCGCGUUGUUGCAGCUCGUUUAUUAGAAUCUUUGUAAGAGGAAUCAAGAAAUUCGGCAAAAACAAAUAAUUCCUCAUACUUCAGGUGCUAAAUCAAUUGCAAGAAGAAGGGCUGAAUUGACGGAAGAGACGGGAAAAGAAGUUAGUAGGGUUCAAAUGUGGGAUAUCACUCACAAGAAAAUAGAUGGAAGUUAUGUUAAUGAAAAGGCUAAAGAAAUAGCGGAGAAGAUUGAAGCAUAUAGUAGUCAACAAGCGGUGGAAUUAACCGUUAAUUCUCCUCUUGAUGCUCUUGGAGUAGUUCUUGGGAAAGAGCACCCUGGUCGUGUUCGAGGUUUAGGCGGU